RNAcentral lists this ribosomal RNA (459 nucleotides) under uncultured bacterium. Its description in RNAcentral is "partial 16S ribosomal RNA". It matches the Rfam family "Bacterial small subunit ribosomal RNA", at positions 338 to 795 of the family's 1533-position model. The record is from RNAcentral.
CCUACGGGUGGCAGCAGUGAGGAAUAUUGGUCAAUGGCCGGAAGGCUGAACCAGCCAUGCCGCGUGAAGGUCAGUGCCCUAUGGGCGGUAAACUUCUUUUGUUCGGGAGCAAUAAUGGUCACGUUUGGCCCUACGAGAGUACCGUUCUAAUAAGCAUCGGCUAACUCCGUUCCAGCAGCCGCGGUAAUACGGAGGAUCCGAUCGUUAUCCGGAUUUAUUGGGUUUAAAGGGAGCGUAGGUGGAUUGUUAAGUCAGUUGUGAAAGUUUGCGGCUCAACCGUAAAAUUGCAGUUGAAACUGGCAGUCUGGAGUACAGUAGAGGUGGGCGGAAUUCGUGGUGUAGCGGUGAAAUGCUUAGAUAUCACGAAGAACUCCGAUUGCGAAGGCAGUUCACUGGACUGCAACUGACACUGAGGCUCGAAAGUGUGGGUAUCAAACAGGAUUAGAUACCCGGGUAGUC